Molecule: transfer RNA, 68 nt
Filed under: Marmota monax (woodchuck)
Lineage: Eukaryota; Metazoa; Chordata; Mammalia; Rodentia; Sciuridae
Description: tRNA.Ala
Source: RNAcentral
GGAAUGUAGCUUAGUGGUAGAAUGUGUGCUUAGCAUGCACAAGGCUUUUGGUUCAAUCCAGAGCACCA